AGAGUUUGAUCCUGGCUCAGAACGAACGCUGGCGGCGUGGAUAAGACAUGCAAGUCGAACGAGAGAAUUGCUAGCUUGCUAAUAAUUCUCUAGUGGCGCACGGGUGAGUAACACGUGAGUAACCUGCCCCCGAGAGCGGGAUAGCCCUGGGAAACUGGGAUUAAUACCGCAUAGUAUCGAAAGAUUAAAGCAGCAAUGCGCUUGGGGAUGGGCUCGCGGCCUAUUAGUUAGUUGGUGAGGUAACGGCUCACCAAGGCGAUGACGGGUAGCCGGUCUGAGAGGAUGUCCGGCCACACUGGAACUGAGACACGGUCCAGACACCUACGGGUGGCAGCAGUCGAGAACCAUUCACAAUGGGGGAAACCCUGAUGGUGCGACGCCGCGUGGGGGAAUGAAGGUCUUCGGAUUGUAAACCCCUGUCAUGUGGGAGCAAAUUAAAAAGAUAGUACCACAAGAGGAAGAGACGGCUAACUCUGUGCCAGCAGCCGCGGUAAUACAGAGGUCUCAAGCGUUGUUCGGAAUCACUGGGCGUAAAGCGUGCGUAGGCUGUUUCGUAAGUCGUGUGUGAAAGGCGCGGGCUCAACCCGCGGACGGCACAUGAUACUGCGAGACUAGAGUAAUGGAGGGGGAACCGGAAUUCUCGGUGUAGCAGUGAAAUGCGUAGAUAUCGAGAGGAACACUCGUGGCGAAGGCGGGUUCCUGGACAUUAACUGACGCUGAGGCACGAAGGCCAGGGGAGCGAAAGGGAUUAGAUACCCCUGUAGUCCUGGCAGUAAACGGUGCACACUUGGUGUGCGGGGAAUCGACCCCCUGCGUGCCGGAGCUAACGCGUUAAGCGUGCCGCCUGGGGAGUACGGUCGCAAGAUUAAAACUCAAAGAAAUUGACGGGGACCCGCACAAGCGGUGGAGUAUGUGGCUUAAUUCGAUGCAACGCGAAGAACCUUACCUGGGCUUGACAUGUAAUGAACAACAUGUGAAAGCAUGCGACUCUUCGGAGGCGUUACACAGGUGCUGCAUGGCCGUCGUCAGCUCGUGUCGUGAGAUGUUUGGUUAAGUCCAGCAACGAGCGCAACCCCUGUUGCCAGUUACCAGCACGUGAAGGUGGGGACUCUGGCGAGACUGCCCAGAUCAACUGGGAGGAAGGUGGGGACGACGUCAGGUCAGUAUGGCCCUUAUGCCCAGGGCUGCACACGUACUACAAUGCCCAGUACAGAGGGGGCCGAAGCCGCGAGGCGGAGGAAAUCCUAAAAACUGGGCCCAGUUCGGACUGUAGGCUGCAACCCGCCUACACGAAGCCGGAAUCGCUAGUAAUGGCGCAUCAGCUACGGCGCCGUGAAUACGUUCCCGGGUCUUGCACUCACCGCCCGUCA
This 1370-nucleotide ribosomal RNA is filed under the name uncultured bacterium. RNAcentral's name for it is "bacterial SSU rRNA". It matches the Rfam family "Bacterial small subunit ribosomal RNA". The record is from RNAcentral.